Cyanistes caeruleus (blue tit) is the source of this 336-nucleotide long non-coding RNA. RefSeq lists it as uncharacterized. The record is from RefSeq and is a predicted model, not a curated record. Lineage: Eukaryota; Metazoa; Chordata; Aves; Passeriformes; Paridae.
UGUGCCAUUUCUGCCGUGAAUCUUUGCGACACUAAGCUUCCUUGCUGCAUUUUCAAGAUGACUUAUUCUGGCUGUUAGCUACCUCCAGAACUGUUACACUGAAAAUCCUUUGCAAGUCCCAUUUGAACCUGCCAAGAAGUAUGGCCACUCAAAACAUGAAUUUUCCAGAUAAUUUGCUGAAAAGGGGAAAAAAAAGGAAGAAGGCCCAUCUCUAAUGACUCUGAUGACAAAACCAUUUGUCUGCAAGGACUUCUCACAGAUGACACAAGAAUUUAGUGUUUACCCAAAUGUCUUUGGGUCAGAUCUUUACAUAAUACAAACUGGAAUAUACCUUUA